AACGAACGCUGGCGGCAUGCCUAACACAUGCAAGUCGAACGCUUGCCUUCGGGUGUUAGUGGCGCACGGGUGGGUAAGGAGGGGUGAUUUGCGCGUGGGUUCGGAAUAACAGAGGGAAACGGCUGCUAAUAACGGGAGUGAUCGCACGACAUAAGAUCUAUAGCCUGAGGAUGAGCCAGAGAUGGAUGAGGUAGUUGGUCGGGUAAAGGCCUACCAAGCCGAUGAGCCAUAGCUGGUCUGAGAGGAUGAUCAGCCACACUGGGACUGAGACACGGCGCAGACUCCUGCGAGAGGCAGCAGUGGGGACUAUUGGACAAUGGGCGGAAGACUGAGCCAGCGGUGCCGCGUGAGUGAUGAAGGCACUAGGGUUGUAAAGCUCUUUUACCCGGGAAGAUAAGGACGGUACCGGGAAGAAAGACCCGGGUAAACUCGUG
Molecule: ribosomal RNA, 434 nt
Filed under: uncultured bacterium
Lineage: Bacteria
Description: partial 16S ribosomal RNA
Rfam family: Bacterial small subunit ribosomal RNA
Source: RNAcentral